GCAGUCGAGGGGCAUCGGGAGGGAAGCUUGCUUUCCUUGCCGGCGACCGGCGCACGGGUGAGUAACACGUAUGCAACCUGCCCUCUUCAGGGGGACAACCUUCCGAAAGGGAGGCUAAUCCCGCGUAUAUCGGUUUCGGGCAUCCGAGAUCGAGGAAAGAUUCAUCGGAAGAGGAUGGGCAUGCGGCGCAUUAGCUUGACGGCGGGGUAACGGCCCACCGUGGCGACGAUGCGUAGGGGUUCUGAGAGGAAGGUCCCCCACACUGGAACUGAGACACGGUCCAGACUCCUACGGGAGGCAGCAGUGAGGAAUAUUGGUCAAUGGGCGGAAGCCUGAACCAGCCAAGUCGCGUGAGGGAAUAAGGCCCUACGGGUCGUAAACCUCUUUUGCCGGGGAGCAAGGGCCGGGACGUGUCCCGGCCCGGAGAGUACCCGGAGAAAAAGCAUCGGCUAACUCCGUGCCAGCAGCCGCGGUAAUACGGAGGAUGCGAGCGUUAUCCGGAUUUAUUGGGUUUAAAGGGUGCGUAGGCGGGCUUUUAAGUCAGCGGUAAAAAUUCGGGGCUCAACCCCGUCCGGCCGUUGAAACUGGGGGCCUUGAGUGGGCGAGAAGAAGGCGGAAUGCGUGGUGUAGCGGUGAAAUGCAUAGAUAUCACGCAGAACCCCGAUUGCGAAGGCAGCCUUCCGGCGCCCUACUGACGCUGAGGCACGAAAGUGCGGGGAUCGAACAGGAUUAGAUACCCUGGUAGUCCGCACAGUAAACGAUGGAUGCCAGCUGUCCGGGCCGAAUGGGGCCUGGGUGGCAAAGCGAAAGCGUUAAGCAUCCCACCUGGGGAGUACGC
This 838-nucleotide ribosomal RNA is filed under the name uncultured bacterium. Its description in RNAcentral is "bacterial SSU rRNA". It matches the Rfam family "Bacterial small subunit ribosomal RNA", at positions 57 to 885 of the family's 1533-position model. The record is from RNAcentral.